This 497-nucleotide ribosomal RNA is filed under the name uncultured bacterium. RNAcentral's name for it is "partial 16S ribosomal RNA". It matches the Rfam family "Bacterial small subunit ribosomal RNA", at positions 28 to 507 of the family's 1533-position model. The record is from RNAcentral.
GAUGAACGCUGGCGGCGUGCCUAAUACAUGCAAGUCGAGCGAACAGACGAGGAGCUUGCUCCUCUGACGUUAGCGGCGGACGGGUGAGUAACACGUAGAUAACCUACCUAUAAGACUGGGAUAACUUCGGGAAACCGGCGCUAAUACCGGAUAAUAUAUUGAACCGCAUGGUUCAAUAGUGAAAGACGGUUUUGCUGUCACUUAUAGAUGGAUCCGCGCCGCAUUAGCUAGUUGGUAAGGUAACGGCUUACCAAGGCAACGAUGCGUAGCCGACCUGAGAGGGUGAUCGGCCACACUGGAACUGAGACACGGUCCAGACUCCUACGGGAGGCAGCAGUAGGGAAUCUUCCGCAAUGGGCGAAAGCCUGACGGAGCAACGCCGCGUGAAUGAUGAAGGUCUUCGGAUCGUAAAACUCUGUUAUUAGGGAAGAACAAAUGUGUAAGUAACUAUGCACGUCUUGACGGUACCUAAUCAGAAAGCCACGGCUAACUACGUG